This 247-nucleotide unclassified non-coding RNA is filed under the name Hevea brasiliensis (rubber tree). The record is from RNAcentral. Lineage: Eukaryota; Viridiplantae; Streptophyta; Magnoliopsida; Malpighiales; Euphorbiaceae.
CUGACGAAAACGUCCACCACCUGACUAGGGUCGAACUUAGGCGGCAUGUUUAGUUGUCAGAUUGCGUGUAGAGGUUUUCAAGGGAAGGUCACAGAACAAAUAUAGUUGUAGAAAUUGGAGGUGGGUAAGAUUAAGAAGGAGGCGCGGCGAGGGAAGCAGCAGAGUGAGAGUUUGUUAGCAUAUAAGCUCAGAGGAUUAGGGCUUUGCAGAUGCGUGGAAAAUGACUAAGUUGUCCUGGGGUUUUUCG